UGAUCGUAAUCAUGUAGGAGCUGCCGCAGGCUGCGAUCUGUUGAUCUUUAAAAUCAAAAGAUCGCAGCCUUCGGCAGCUCCUGCAUUGAAA
Molecule: unclassified non-coding RNA, 91 nt
Filed under: Pseudomonas helmanticensis
Lineage: Bacteria; Pseudomonadati; Pseudomonadota; Gammaproteobacteria; Pseudomonadales; Pseudomonadaceae
Description: microRNA mir-598
Source: RNAcentral